This 882-nucleotide long non-coding RNA is filed under the name Pongo abelii (Sumatran orangutan). RNAcentral's name for it is "lincRNA". Lineage: Eukaryota; Metazoa; Chordata; Mammalia; Primates; Hominidae. The record is from RNAcentral.
CAACUUUGCUAUCUUAGAACGGAUCACCAGUGAAAGAGGGGAAGUUGCUACUGUGAUGAAUUCUGCCAUGUGGUACCAGACUGCUGCCCAGACCACAGUGUCCUCUGCAACCCUGGUAACUCACAUACAGGCCUGAUUCCACCUACAGCAAAGCUGGAUGCUAUGGUUGGCAGAGGCAAGCCCCUUGCCUGCACUUCAGGCCAAAGCCGGGAUGUGGCCUAGAUGGUUCCUAAGGUCCCUGACAGUCCUGAGAUCUUUCAUCUUGUCUAUUUCAGGUCAAAGGUGCCUACAUGUUCCUUCUAGCUUUGUUUCCCUGAUGUUCCUUGCCACCUGCUACUCCUCUCUGAGCUACUUUUCCAGGUUCCACAGGGAGAGGUUCAGCUGUCCAUGGUAGACAUGAGGGUAGAGAAUGAGAUGGUUGGGUUCCACUUACCUUUCUAUCAUCUUGCAGUAUGGAUGUCUCUUGACUGGUACCAUGUAGACUUUUGAGGGCAGACAGGAGUCUGCAGAGAGAUACUGGGGAUAUUGAGCAGCAGCAAUGGGGUUGGGAGGCAGAAAUGAGGACAGGAACAUUUACCUUGUGUUUCUCUCAGCUUCUCAGAUGACCAAGAUGGUGCUGCCGAUGGUGUUGAGGACGGAGAACCCACCAAGCCCCGUUAGGAGCCACCUAGACUGGAUGCAGAGCACACUUUCUCCUGGCUUCAAGUUGUCCCACCUUUGCUUGGCAUUGCCCUGCCUUUUCCAGACUGAACAAAUGUUCAUCUUACAUAUGUUGAUUGAUGUCUCAUGUCUCCCUAAAACAUAUGAAAUCAAGCUGUGCUCUGACCACCUUGGCACAUGUCGUCAGGACCUCCUGAGGCUGUGUCACGGACGCGCAUCUUC